AACGAACGCUGGCGGCAUGCCUAACACAUGCAAGUCGAACGAGAUCUUCGGGUCUAGUGGCGCACGGGUGCGUAACGCGUGGGAAUCUGCCCUUUGGUUCGGAAUAACAGUUGGAAACGACUGCUAAUACCGGAUGAUGACGAAAGUCCAAAGAUUUAUCGACAGAGGAUGAGCCCGCGUGGGAUUAGCUAGUUGGUGUGGUAAAGGCGCACCAAGGCGACGAUACUUAGCUGGUCUGAGAGGAUGAUCAGCCACACUGGGACUGAGACACGGCCCAGACUCCUACGGGAGGCAGCAGUGGGGAAUAUUGGACAAUGGGCGAAAGCCUGAUCCAGCAAUGCCGCGUGAGUGAUGAAGGCUUUAGGGUUGUAAAGCUCCUUUACGCGGGAUGAUAAUGACAGUACCGGGAGAAUAAGCUCCGGCUAACUCCGUGCCAGCCGCCGCCGUAA
This 449-nucleotide ribosomal RNA is filed under the name uncultured bacterium. Its description in RNAcentral is "partial 16S ribosomal RNA". It matches the Rfam family "Bacterial small subunit ribosomal RNA", at positions 29 to 523 of the family's 1533-position model. The record is from RNAcentral.